This 448-nucleotide ribosomal RNA is filed under the name uncultured bacterium. RNAcentral describes it as "bacterial SSU rRNA". It matches the Rfam family "Bacterial small subunit ribosomal RNA", at positions 28 to 524 of the family's 1533-position model. The record is from RNAcentral.
AACGAACGCUGGCGGCAGGCCUAACACAUGCAAGUCGAACGCCCCGCAAGGGGAGUGGCGCACGGGUGAGUAACGCGUGGGAACCUGCCCUUCGGUUCGGGACAACCCAGGGAAACUUGGGCUAAUACCGGAUGAGCUCCGCGAGGAGGAAAGAUUUCUCGCCGGAGGAGGGGCCCGCGUCGGAUUAGGUAGUUGGUGAGGUAACGGCUCACCAAGCCUUCGAUCCGUAGCCGGUCUGAGAGGAUGAUCGGCCACACUGGGACUGAGACACGGCCCAGACUCCUACGGGAGGCAGCAGUGGGAAUAUUGGACAAUGGGGGGCAACCCUGAUCCAGCCAUGCCGCGUGGAUGAUGAAGGCCUUCGGUUGUAAAGUCCUUCGCGCACGACGAUGAUGACGGUAGUGCGAGAAGAAGCCUCGGCUAACUCCGUGCCAGCAGCCGCGGUAAU